Molecule: ribosomal RNA, 465 nt
Filed under: uncultured bacterium
Lineage: Bacteria
Description: partial 16S ribosomal RNA
Rfam family: Bacterial small subunit ribosomal RNA
Source: RNAcentral
CCUACGGGGUGCAGCAGUAGGGAAUCUUCCACAAUGGGCGAAAGCCUGAUGGAGCAACGCCGCGUGGGUGAAGAAGGUCUUCGGAUCGUAAAACCCUGUUGUUAGAGAAGAAAGUGCGUGAGAGUAACUGUUCACGUUUCGACGGUAUCUAACCAGAAAGCCACGGCUAACUACGUGCCAGCAGCCGCGGUAAUACGUAGGUGGCAAGCGUUAUCCGGAUUUAUUGGGCGUAAAGGGAACGCAGGCGGUCUUUUAAGUCUGAUGGGAAAGCCUUCGGCUUAACCGGAGUAGUGCAUUGGAAACUGGGAGACUUGAGUGCAGAAGAGGAGAGUGGAACUCCAUGUGUAGCGGUGAAAUGCGUAGAUAUAUGGAAGAACACCAGUGGCGAAAGCGGCUCUCUGGUCUGUAACUGACGCUGAGGUUCGAAAGCGUGGGUAGCAAACAGGAUUAGAUACCCCAGUAGUC